GUUGAGGCUCUGUCUGUAGACCCACAUCUUUGGAAAUGCCUCAUAGAGUAACUGUGGUCUGAUUGACUCGCAGACCUAUUGGUUGGAUCUGUGAGAAAGAACUACAAGACGUGU
RNAcentral lists this small nucleolar RNA (114 nucleotides) under Echinops telfairi (small Madagascar hedgehog). Lineage: Eukaryota; Metazoa; Chordata; Mammalia; Afrosoricida; Tenrecidae. The record is from RNAcentral.